Molecule: ribosomal RNA, 475 nt
Filed under: uncultured archaeon
Lineage: Archaea
Description: bacterial SSU rRNA
Rfam family: Archaeal small subunit ribosomal RNA
Source: RNAcentral
CGCGAAAGCGUGAGUCGGUCAAUCCGAGUGUAGACCCAUCGGUUUACUCUUGUCAUGUGUACAACGCUUGGCGAAUAAUGUGAGGGCAAGACUGGUGCCAGCCGCCGCGGUAAAACCAGCUCAUAGAGUGGUGAUCAUGAUUAUUUGGCUUAAAGUGUGCGUAGCAGGGAAUUCUAAGUCCUCUGUGAAAUGUCAGGUCUUAAGCUUGACACGUGCAGAAGAUACUGGAAUCCUUGGGACUGGGAUAGGUGUACUGUACGGUUUGGGUAGRGGUGAAAUCCGAUAAUCCAAGCCGGACAACCGGUGGCGAAGGCGGUACACUGGAACAGGUCCGACUGUGAGGCACGAAAGCUAGGGUCGCGAGCCGGAUUAGAUACCCGGGUAGUCCUAUGCCGUAAACGAUGCUCACUAAGUGUUAGGUAAUGCAAGACAUUCUCUAGUGCCGAAGCGAAAGCGUUAAGUGAGCCGCCUGGAA